GCUAAAAACAGCACCGUGUGCUUAGCGGCGCUCCGGCCACACCAGCAUUGAUCUGUGGUCGGUCAGACUUUUAAGCUUUUAAAACACGUUUACACCAACGAUUGAACUUAAAACACUGGUGCUGAAACUGGGAGGUCCACCGAUAAUGUGAGGAGGCCAGAUAAGUUAACAUAUUCAAAUUUAGUCAUAUGCUGUUGAGGAAGUUGGGAAUCUCGUGGCACUGAUGGUUGACUUCACCGAAACUAAACAGACUUGAAAAAUUGUAUAUACAUAUAUAAAAUCAACGAAAUUUAGUAGUAUAUGCGAAAUGUCAGCAAUCGGAAGUCAUCAGGCAAGAGCCAUAACCGCCAUUGGUUAUGUUCCCUCUUCUCUUUCACUUCGAUUUACGUCCCACAUGAGUGCAAUCGCUGUGGUAAAUACAGAUACAGCAAAAUGAUGAACGCUUGAAGUAGCUGGAGAGGUCUCGCGAGCGGAUGGGUUCACAACGCGACGCCUGAUAUAUACAUAAAUUGCAACUCUCAAUGCCUUCUCAACGAAUUUCAUUGCCCAGGCGGAUGUGGGGCUACGUGCUUGCUCUUGAUGGUGUUCAACGGUUGCUGUGCACAAGUUGCCGCAAAAUAAACACCCUGCCCUCGACGACCCUCUUCCGCCAUAAGCUCUUCAAAGCCACUAAAUUCUCACAUUUUUGUGCGUUUUUGAGAGUAUCAAUGUGUAUUCGAACCCCGUGCAUUCGUAUUUUAUAUGCAUUUCGCUAAACUAGCGAUAUACUACUCAUUGAGAUGGCAAGCUUGGCUACAUAUGUACAUAAAUACGUAUCACUUACGUAAGGUGAAAGAUAGCGAUACAAUGUGCGAUAUGUUUGAAAGAGUUAACACGAUUUUGCGAACGAAAACAAGUAAUUGGUAAACAUAAAUACACCUAAAAUGUAUCUGUUAGAUGGGGAAAACGCGGUCGUUGCAAAUUCAGUGCUUAAUUAAACCAAAAAAUUGUGAGUUGGUGGAGUAAAUGUUUAAGAAAAUUCAAGUCGGCCGCAGAGAUUUACCAACUCACAUGCAUAUAUGUGUGUCAUCUGAAUUGCAAACAAAGACAUUGGAUGCAUUAUGUGCAAUAUUUUAUAAUCUUGUAAUUCUUGAUAAAUUGUAUAGUGUCUUGUGGAAGGAUUUUCCAGUAAAACCAAAAUCAUCAACAAAAUAACACCUGACACGAGCACCUCAACGAACUGCCAUUCGUAUUGAAAUGCCCUCCUAUGUAAAGAGCAACAAACUCUCUAAUAAAGCAAGCCAAAAAAAAAAAAACACUCUUGAUAUUUCAUCAAAAAGUGCAACACAUUGAAAACGUUAACAAAGUAAAGGGAAAAUUGCUGUGAGCAUGUAGACCAUGCAUAAUGGAAUUAGAAGAAAAAAUGCAGUGUAGUCCGCGUGGAUAUUGGAGAAUAAAUUAGCAAAAAACGGACCUGCCCCGAAAUGAGUAGAUACCAAAGAAUCGCGAAACUUACAAAAUCCUGGUUUUUGGCACUAUUUGCAAUCUAUGUACAUACAUAUAUGGUAUGACUGAAUCAACUAACGCCAAAGAAUAUGCUUUAAAUAAGUGCAAGUGUAAAAAAUUAGAAGAUUCCCUUAAACGCGAAAUGUCUGAAAAUCCUCGAAACUUUUCCAGCCUAGAAAAAUAACUGUCGAAAUUAUAUGAGGCGCUUUUCGCGUGCCCCGAAAACUUUCGAGGUAAAUUAGUAGGGAUCGAAAGUUAUAUGUAGUUAUUUUUGUAAUUGCAGUUCAAAAAGGUUGUCGAAAAGAUUUUGCGUAUUUAAUAUUUGUAUACAUAUAUAUAACAAUGUGAAGCUUGAUAGCCAAAGAAUAUUCGGACUUUUUUCAAAAAAGUCAGCAAUUAACAGUUAUUUUAUGAUCGAUAUUUCUUCAAUCAAAAAUUGCAGUUAAAAUUAUACUUCCAUUUUUUUUUGGUCAAAUAUGAAAGCUCAAAUUUUAC
RNAcentral lists this long non-coding RNA (1980 nucleotides) under Rhagoletis pomonella (apple maggot). RNAcentral's name for it is "uncharacterized LOC118743121". Lineage: Eukaryota; Metazoa; Arthropoda; Insecta; Diptera; Tephritidae. The record is from RNAcentral.